AUUGAACGCUGGCGGCAUGCUUUACACAUGCAAGUCGAACGGCAGCGCGGGGCAACCUUGCGGCGAUUGGCGAACGGGUGAGUAAUAUAUCGGAACGUACCCAGAAGUGGGGGAUAACGUAGCGAAAGUUACGCUAAUACCGCAUACGAUCUACGCAUGAAAGUAGGGGACCGCAAGGCCUUAUUCUUUUGGAGCGGCCGAUAUCUGAGUAGCUAGUUGGUGAGGUAAAGGCUCACUAAGGCGACGAUCAGUAGCUGGUCUGAGAGGACGACCAGCCACACUGGAACUGAGACACGGUCCAGACUCCUACGGGAGGCAGCAGUGGGGAAUUUUGGACAACGGGCGCAAGCCUGAUCCAGCAAUGCCGCGUGAGUGAAGAAGGCCUUCGGGUUGUAAAGCUCUUUUGUCAGGGAAGAAACGGUAGAGGCUAAUAUCCUUUGCUAAUGACGGUACCUGAAGAAUAAGCACCGGCUAACUACGUG
RNAcentral lists this ribosomal RNA (482 nucleotides) under uncultured bacterium. RNAcentral's name for it is "partial 16S ribosomal RNA". It matches the Rfam family "Bacterial small subunit ribosomal RNA", at positions 30 to 507 of the family's 1533-position model. The record is from RNAcentral.